This 301-nucleotide ribosomal RNA is filed under the name uncultured bacterium. RNAcentral describes it as "partial 16S ribosomal RNA". It matches the Rfam family "Bacterial small subunit ribosomal RNA", at positions 509 to 807 of the family's 1533-position model. The record is from RNAcentral.
CAGUAGCCGCGGGAAUACGGAGGAUCCAAGCGUUAUCCGGAAUCAUUGGGUUUAAAGGGUCCGUAGGCGGUCUUGUAAGUCAGUGGUGAAAGCCCAUCGCUCAACGGUGGAACGGCCAUUGAUACUGCAGGACUUGAAUUAUUGGGAAGUAACUAGAAUAUGUAGUGUAGCGGUGAAAUGCUUAGAGAUUACAUGGAAUACCAAUUGCGAAGGCAGGUUACUACCAAUUGAUUGACGCUGAUGGACGAAAGCGUGGGUAGCGAACAGGAUUAGAUACCCGGGUAGUCCCUGUCUCUUAUAC